GGUCCCAUGGUGUAAUGGUUAGCACUUUGGACUCUGAAUCCAACAAUCCGAGUUCGAGUCUCGGUGGGACCU
This 72-nucleotide transfer RNA is filed under the name Penaeus monodon (black tiger shrimp). RNAcentral describes it as "tRNA-Gln". It matches the Rfam family "tRNA". Rfam says of the family: Transfer RNA (tRNA) molecules are approximately 80 nucleotides in length. The record is from RNAcentral. RNAcentral also lists the same sequence under 14 other names. Lineage: Eukaryota; Metazoa; Arthropoda; Malacostraca; Decapoda; Penaeidae.